UACUUUGGGAGUGGCAGUCUUAGUGUGAGAGUCGCAAACUAUGAGAGUUGCAGACUGCAAGAGUGCCAGUUUCAGUGAGAGUCACAGACUGUGAUAGUGCCAGUCUCAGUAUAAGUCACAGACUGUGAGAGUGCCAGUCUCAGUGAGAGUAGCAGACUGUGAGAGUGCCAAUCUCAGUGUUAGAAUCACAGGUUGUUACAGUGCCAGUCUCAGUGUGAGAGACACAUACUGAGAGAGUGCCAGUCUCAGUGUGAUAGUUGCAGAUUGUGACUGUGCCAGUCUCAGUGUGUCCCUGACUGUGGG
Molecule: non-coding RNA, 303 nt
Organism: Pelobates cultripes (western spadefoot toad)
Lineage: Eukaryota; Metazoa; Chordata; Amphibia; Anura; Pelobatidae
Source: the annotation of a GenBank genome assembly